RNAcentral lists this ribosomal RNA (116 nucleotides) under Paramormyrops kingsleyae. The record is from RNAcentral. Lineage: Eukaryota; Metazoa; Chordata; Actinopteri; Osteoglossiformes; Mormyridae.
AGCAGCUCCACCACCUGCAGUUCAGGCUAGGUGAUCCCCCUGAAACUAAACUGGUUUGGGUCUGGCCAGUACUUUGAUGGGAGACCAACUGGGAAAGCUGGUCCAACUUGCUGCUG